RNAcentral lists this ribosomal RNA (245 nucleotides) under uncultured Hymenobacter sp. RNAcentral describes it as "partial 16S ribosomal RNA". It matches the Rfam family "Bacterial small subunit ribosomal RNA", at positions 524 to 768 of the family's 1533-position model. The record is from RNAcentral. Lineage: Bacteria; Pseudomonadati; Bacteroidota; Cytophagia; Cytophagales; Hymenobacteraceae.
UACGGAGGGUGCGAGCGUUGUCCGGAUUUAUUGGGUUUAAAGGGUGCGUAGGCGGCCUGUUAAGUCCGGGGUGAAAGCCCGUUGCUCAACAACGGAACUGCCCUGGAUACUGGCGGGCUUGAGUACAGGCGAGGUUGGCGGAAUGGACGGAGUAGCGGUGAAAUGCAUAGAUACCGUCCAGAACCCCGAUUGCGAAGGCAGCUGACUAGGCUGUAACUGACGCUGAGGCACGACAGCGUGGGGAG